AGUCGAACGGCAGCACGAGAGAGCUUGCUCUCUUGGUGGCGAGUGGCGGACGGGUGAGUAAUAUAUCGGAACGUGCCUAGUAGCGGGGGAUAACUACUCGAAAGAGUGGCUAAUACCGCAUACGCCCUACGGGGGAAAGGGGGGGAUCGCAAGACCUCUCACUAUUAGAGCGGCCGAUAUCGGAUUAGCUAGUUGGUGGGGUAAAGGCUCACCAAGGCAACGAUCCGUAGCUGGUUUGAGAGGACGACCAGCCACACUGGGACUGAGACACGGCCCACACUCCUACGGGAGGCAGCAGUGGGGAAUUUUGGACAAAGGGGGAAACCCUGAUCCAGCCAUCCCGCGUGUAUGAUGAAGGCCUUCGGGUUGUAAAGUACUUUUGGCAGAGAAGAAAAGGUACCUCCUAAUACCAGGUACUGCUGACGGUAUCUGCAGAAUAAGCACCGGCUAACUACGUGCCAGCAGCCGCGGUAAUACGUAGGGUGCAAGCGUUAAUCGGAAUUACUGGGCGUAAAGCGUGUGUAGGCGGUUCGGAAAGAAAGAUGUGAAAUCCCAGGGCUUAACCUUGGAACUGCAUUUUUAACUGCCGAGCUAGAGUAUGUCAUAGGGGGGUAGAAUUCCACGUGUAACACUGAAAUGCGUAGAUAUGUGCAGGAAUACCGAUGGCGAACGCAGCCCCCUGGGAUAAUACUGACGCUCAGACACGAGGCGUGGGGAGCU
This 720-nucleotide ribosomal RNA is filed under the name Alcaligenes faecalis. RNAcentral describes it as "bacterial SSU rRNA". It matches the Rfam family "Bacterial small subunit ribosomal RNA", at positions 60 to 770 of the family's 1533-position model. Lineage: Bacteria; Pseudomonadati; Pseudomonadota; Betaproteobacteria; Burkholderiales; Alcaligenaceae. The record is from RNAcentral.